This 433-nucleotide ribosomal RNA is filed under the name uncultured bacterium. RNAcentral describes it as "partial 16S ribosomal RNA". It matches the Rfam family "Bacterial small subunit ribosomal RNA", at positions 28 to 507 of the family's 1533-position model. The record is from RNAcentral.
GACGAACGCUGGCGGCAUGCCUAACACAUGCAAGUCGAACGAGACCUUCGGGUCUAGUGGCGCACGGGUGCGUAACGCGUGGGAACCUGCCCUUAGGUUCGGAAUAACUCCCCGAAAGGGGUGCUAAUACCGGAUAAUGUCUUCGGACCAAAGAUUUAUCGCCUUUGGAUGGGCCCGCGUUGGAUUAGCUAGUUGGUAGGGUAAAAGCCUACCAAGGCGACGAUCCAUAGCUGGUCUGAGAGGAUGAUCAGCCACACUGGGACUGAGACACGGCCCAGACUCCUACGGGAAGCAGCAGUGGGGAAUAUUGGACAAUGGGCGAAAGCCUGAUCCAGCAAUGCCGCGUGAGUGAUGAAGGCCUUAGGGUUGUAAAGCUCUUUUACCCGGGAUGAUAAUGACAGUACCGGGAGAAUAAGCUCCGGCUAACUACGUG